This is a long non-coding RNA of Hipposideros armiger (great roundleaf bat), 704 nucleotides long. RefSeq lists it as uncharacterized. The record is from RefSeq and is a predicted model, not a curated record. The transcript has 4 exons. Lineage: Eukaryota; Metazoa; Chordata; Mammalia; Chiroptera; Hipposideridae.
CAGAGUUCGAGAGCAGAUCUCAUUACUGGGUUUAGAACACCAUGCUUGCUCAUGGUGGAGGGGUGGUGAGGAACGGCUGAGGACUGAGAACACCAAUUCCUUAACAGAAGACAACUCAGUAAGCAAAGCUUUGCCUUCCUGGGAUUCCUAGGCAGGGGUUACACUGCCUCUGUUGGUGCCACUGCUGGUAUCGUCACUUAGAGAAAGUGGCACCAGAAGACACAGGAAAAGAUUCUGGGCAAAGAAACACCUCUCGCCUCCACUAAGACCGGACAGCACGCAACUCCAACGCGUGCUCAGGGCCUGGCUGGCCACGGCCCGCGGAGCACAGACCUCCAUGAGCAUGGUUUCGCCGCCACCGCCAUCCUUUCCAACUCUCACGUAAUUAUUCUCAAAUCAAGGCUCUAACAAAGCAGAAGAGAUCGUGAAGGGUCAGCUUGUGAGUACUCAGCUUACUCUGUAGCUGUGAUUGCUACUCUGGUUAAACAGCAACGCUGCGGUACCUGAUGAAGCUCUGAAACAACCACUUUAUAGAAGUUACUCAGCAGCAAGGUGGGCGAGCUCCCACACAUCACAGACACAUGAUUUUGGUCGAAAUCAGACGAUGCACGGAGAUGGUACACUAAAGGGACAGAACUUAAAGCUUUUGGAAACUCACAAAACCCUCAUGAAAUGGUGUACUAAAAAAUUCCAGAUCUCUUCAA